UCUUCGUAUCUUCUUCUUUCUUCUUUUUCUCUCUCUUUUCCGUUCUUCUCCUGUUCUUCGUUUUCUGUCGAAUUCGAGAGAUUAAACGAAGGUUUUGUGAUCGACAGGAGGUGUAGAAGAUUAUGAAGUAGUUGGUGGUGAUAGUGAUGGUGUCUGUUGUUGAUUCAGACUCGAAUGAGGAAAUGAAUUAAGAUUAGGUUUUUUUAAUAAAUUUCGUGAGUUUGUAGAUGGUGAAAUUGAGUAAUUAAGGAGAAGAUUAGAGAUGGGUUGUGGUUCAAUGGAAGUUCUGAAGCUGAUUCAGAGAAUAAUUGAAUAAUUUAGGGUUUCUUGAAGAUGAAAGUUAUUGAAGAAUUAUGUGGAUCUGAGAUGUAGAUCGAGUUUCUGAUGGAUUGAGAAUUAGUGGGUAGAUGUUUAAUUGAAGUUUAAAAGUUAAUUUGGUGAAUAUUUGAGAAUUAGGAUUUCUUUUCUUCCCCAAAACAGAAAUUAGGUCUUCGGUGGAAUUGAUUCAGCGUAUUAACAAUUCAAGUUAGAAGUGAUGUUGAUAGAAGAUGAAUUGUUGAGGUUGAAGUAUACUUGGGAUUGGGUCUGUGGUUGCUAUCUCUGUUGGACGUGAAGGUUGAGUUGAUUAGAUUGAAGUAAUAAGUGUUUAACGGGUGAAUUAAGGUAGUAGUGGUGAGGUUGUUGCUGCUGUGAUGCUGUAAAUGCAAGAAGGAAACUUGGAUUGGUGUUGAGCUGGUAGAUGAGUGGAAAAUUAUAGUUGUUUUGAUAUACAAGAAGAGUAUGUUAGCUGAGUUGGGAUUUAGCUGAAGUGUAAUGGUUGUGUUAUGAGUUGAAUACAGAACCUGUUAGAUGGAUUUAAGAUACUUAGUGGUGGUUCUGUAGUUGGGUUGAUAUUGCAGUUGUGUUGGUUGUUGCUGGUCAAGAAUGAGGCUUUUGUCAUGGCUAGAAAUGAUAAGGGGUGAUGAUAGCUUGGAAAGAUACAAAGUUUUGGAAUGGUGAACUAAACUGAAUUUGAAUUAAGUGUGUGAGUAUAUGCUGAGUGUUGUUCAGCUGAGAAUUGUUGGUGAUUUGAGAUGACAGUGUAAAGGAAUGUUAGGUUGGUUGUAGAUGGAGUAGACUUGGUGUUGGGGGAUUUGAAGUACAGGGAGAAGACUGUUGUGUAGUGGUGUAGAUGGAAUGAGAUAGAUAGAAGUGCAAGUUAAUAUAUAUGAAUGUGGAAUGAGCUAGAGCUGAACAUCAUUGAGAUCAAUGUUGAAAGAAUGGAGCAGCUACUGCUUUCGCAGAUAGGCUAAGCUUGUAUUUGAAAUUCAAUUAUGAAGUUCAGUUAAAUUUAAUAUGAUGUAUUGCAAUGAGAGUUAGAUGUUGUUAGAUUAAAUUGAAUUGGUAAUGGAGUAGAAGUUGUAAUUAAGUUAAGGUUGUACAA
Papaver somniferum (opium poppy) is the source of this 1423-nucleotide long non-coding RNA. RefSeq lists it as uncharacterized. NCBI's taxonomy places the organism in Eukaryota, Viridiplantae, Streptophyta, Magnoliopsida, Ranunculales, Papaveraceae. The record is from RefSeq and is a predicted model, not a curated record. The transcript has 2 exons.